This 429-nucleotide ribosomal RNA is filed under the name Bacteroidota bacterium. RNAcentral describes it as "Bacteroidetes bacterium partial 16S ribosomal RNA". It matches the Rfam family "Bacterial small subunit ribosomal RNA", at positions 355 to 776 of the family's 1533-position model. Lineage: Bacteria; Pseudomonadati; Bacteroidota. The record is from RNAcentral.
UAGGGAAUCUUCGGCAAUGGGGGGAACCCCGACCGAGCAACGCCGCGUGAGUGAAGAAGGUUUUCGGAUCGUAAAGCUCUGUUGUUAAGGAAGAACGAGUGUGAGAAUGGAAAGUUCAUACUGUGACGGUACUUAACCAGAAAGGGACGGCUAACUACGUGCCAGCAGCCGCGGUAAUACGUAGGUCCCGAGCGUUGUCUGGAUUUAUUGGGCGUAAAGCGAGCGCAGGCGGUUAGAUAAGUCUGAAGUUAAAGGCAGUGGCUCAACCAUUGUAGGCUUUGGAAACUGUUUAACUUGAGUGCAGAAGGGGAGAGUGGAAUUCCAUGUGUAGCGGUGAAAUGCGUAGAUAUAUGGAGGAACACCGGUGGCGAAAGCGGCUCUCUGGUCUGUAACUGACGCUGAGGCUCGAAAGCGUGGGGAGCGAACAGG